Molecule: ribosomal RNA, 506 nt
Filed under: uncultured bacterium
Lineage: Bacteria
Description: partial 16S ribosomal RNA
Rfam family: Bacterial small subunit ribosomal RNA
Source: RNAcentral
AGUGAACGCUGGCGGUAGGCCUAACACAUGCAAGUCGAACGGCAGCACAGAGGAGCUUGCUCCUUGGGUGGCGAGUGGCGGACGGGUGAGGAAUACAUCGGAAUCUACUCUGUCGUGGGGGAUAACGUAGGGAAACUUACGCUAAUACCGCAUACGACCUACGGGUGAAAGCAGGGGAUCUUCGGACCUUGCGCGAUUGAAUGAGCCGAUGUCGGAUUAGCUAGUUGGCGGGGUAAAGGCCCACCAAGGCGACGAGCCGUAGCUGGUCUGAGAGGAUGAUCAGCCACACUGGAACUGGGACACGGUCCAGACUCCUACGGGAGGCAGCAGUGGGGAAUAUUGGACAAUGGGCGCAAGCCUGAUCCAGCCAUACCGCGUGGGUGAAGAAGGCCUUCGGGUUGUAAAGCCCUUUUGUUGGGAAAGAAAUCCAUCUGGUUAAUACCCGGGUGGGAUGACGGUACCCAAAGAAUAAGCACCGGCUAGCUUCGUGCCAGCCGCCGCGGUAA